ACCCGGUUAGCUCAGUUGGUUAGAGUACUUCCUUGACGUGGAAGUUGUCAGAAGUUCGAAUCUUCUACCGGGUA
This 74-nucleotide transfer RNA is filed under the name Endomicrobium sp. Its description in RNAcentral is "tRNA-Val". It matches the Rfam family "tRNA". Rfam says of the family: Transfer RNA (tRNA) molecules are approximately 80 nucleotides in length. The record is from RNAcentral. Lineage: Bacteria; Pseudomonadati; Elusimicrobiota; Endomicrobiia; Endomicrobiales; Endomicrobiaceae.